GUCAGGUCAGCAGGUUUCAUACAUGGUUGUUACUGCACACUUUGUGGACUCUAAUUGGAAUUUGCAAAAGGGUACUUUCAACUUCUGUGAUGUUCCACCACCUCAUAUAGGAGUUGUUAUAUGUGAUGUGCUACAAAAAUGCUUAGUUGAAUGGGGAAUUGAAGAUAAGGUAUGGACUGUUUCUAUUGAUAAUGCUGCCUAUAAUGAUG
This 209-nucleotide unclassified non-coding RNA is filed under the name Hevea brasiliensis (rubber tree). Lineage: Eukaryota; Viridiplantae; Streptophyta; Magnoliopsida; Malpighiales; Euphorbiaceae. The record is from RNAcentral.